AACGAACGCUGGCGGCAUGCCUAACACAUGCAAGUCGAACGAGAGCUUCGGCUCUAGUGGCGCACGGGUGCGUAACGCGUGGGAAUCUGCCCUUGGGUUCGGAAUAACAGUUGGAAACGACUGCUAAUACCGGAUGAUGACGUAAGUCCAAAGAUUUAUCGCCCUGGGAUGAGCCCGCGUCGGAUUAGCUAGUUGGUGGGGUAAAGGCCUACCAAGGCAACGAUCCGUAGCUGGUCUGAGAGGAUGAUCAGCCACACUGGGACUGAGACACGGCCCAGACUCCUACGGGAGGCAGCAGUGGGGAAUAUUGGACAAUGGGCGCAAGCCUGAUCCAGCAAUGCCGCGUGAGUGAUGAAGGCCUUAGGGUUGUAAAGCUCUUUUACCCGGGAAGAUAAUGACUGUACCGGGAGAAUAAGCCCCGGCUAACUCCGUGCCAGCAGCCGCAGUAA
This 449-nucleotide ribosomal RNA is filed under the name uncultured bacterium. RNAcentral describes it as "partial 16S ribosomal RNA". It matches the Rfam family "Bacterial small subunit ribosomal RNA", at positions 29 to 523 of the family's 1533-position model. The record is from RNAcentral.